AGGUACUGUUUAUCUUAAACAAACAAAGUCUCAGACGAGCGAAGGUUUAACGACAUUAAUUUUGGGCAACAGGUAAACACAACACUUUAAAAUUGAUUAGAAGGGGGAGGUGGUCCACAUGGCAUGAUCAUUUUUUCUAAUAGGUUUUUGCGAACUUGGACUCUCGGUUCGCCGAGCGCCGUUGCCAUAUAUGCGAGCAACGGUGGAUGCCCCACUACAGAAGACAAAGUAUCCCGGUGCUGAUUUACCAUCCAUUCACUAGUUUAUAUGGUGAGCGAAAAUUCAUUUGUCAAAUAAACCGAUUAGUACUUACUAUUUGGUGGUAAACGCAUUACCGACACCAACAUAACGCGCUUGUAACUGUUCUAGUUUUGCUUGAGAGCGCAACCUGUCUGCCUACAAUCGUUAAUAAAUGAAAGAAGCAUAGAAUAGAGAUAAUUCAAGAAUUUUUUUCUUACCAUAGUAUAUAUUGGAAUAUGUGGUAUAAUGUUCAGACUGGGUUUUUUUAACACAUAUUGUUAAUUGAAACGAAUAAGGUAUAAUACUGUAAUUUGCAAUUCUAAAUUGCGAUUUCUAGCGCACCAAAGC
Molecule: non-coding RNA, 588 nt
Organism: Schizosaccharomyces pombe (fission yeast)
Lineage: Eukaryota; Fungi; Ascomycota; Schizosaccharomycetes; Schizosaccharomycetales; Schizosaccharomycetaceae
Source: the annotation of a GenBank genome assembly